UACGGAAGGUUCGGGCGUUAUCCGGAUUUAUUGGGUUUAAAGGGAGCGUAGGCCGUUUGGUAAGCGUGUUGUGAAAUGUAGGAGCUCAACUUCUAGAUUGCAGCGCGAACUGUCAGACUUGAGUGCGCACAACGUAGGCGGAAUUCAUGGUGUAGCGGUGAAAUGCUUAGAUAUCAUGAAGAACUCCGAUUGCGAAGGCAGCUUACGGGAGCGCAACUGACGCUGAAGCUCGAAGGUGCGGGUAUCGAAC
This 250-nucleotide ribosomal RNA is filed under the name uncultured bacterium. RNAcentral describes it as "partial 16S ribosomal RNA". It matches the Rfam family "Bacterial small subunit ribosomal RNA", at positions 524 to 773 of the family's 1533-position model. The record is from RNAcentral. RNAcentral also lists the same sequence under 1 other name.